AUAUUGCACAAUGGGGGAAACCCUGAUGCAGCGACGCCGCGUGAGUGAAGAAGUAUUUCGGUAUGUAAAGCUCUAUCAGCAGGGAAGAAACUGACGGUACCUGACUAAGAAGCCCCGGCUAACUACGUGCCAGCAGCCGCGGUAAUACGUAGGGGGCAAGCGUUAUCCGGAUUUACUGGGUGUAAAGGGAGCGUAGACGGUAUUGCAAGUCUGAAGUGAAAUCCCGGGGCUCAACCCCGGAGCUGCUUUGGAAACUGUAAAACUAGAGUGCUGGAGAGGUAAGCGGAAUUCCUAGUGUAGCGGUGAAAUGCGUAGAUAUUAGGAGGAACACCAGUGGCGAAGGCGGCUUACUGGACAGUCACUGACGUUGAGGCUCGAAAGCGUGGGGAGCAAACAGG
RNAcentral lists this ribosomal RNA (398 nucleotides) under uncultured bacterium. RNAcentral describes it as "bacterial SSU rRNA". It matches the Rfam family "Bacterial small subunit ribosomal RNA", at positions 361 to 776 of the family's 1533-position model. The record is from RNAcentral.